Long non-coding RNA from Lagopus leucura (white-tailed ptarmigan), 265 nucleotides. RefSeq lists it as uncharacterized. The transcript is spliced from 3 exons. Lineage: Eukaryota; Metazoa; Chordata; Aves; Galliformes; Phasianidae. The record is from RefSeq and is a predicted model, not a curated record.
AAUCCCAAAUUCUCGAUAAUACUCCACACAUUGAAGCGGAUAUUUUAUACUGAAGAGACACUGAAAAGGAGGCAUUUUGCAUACAAGCUGCUCCGUACGCCUUCAAGCUCUUUGGAACAGCACCAGUCUUACCUGUGAGGUGCAUUACAAAUACAGAGAUGUAAGAAGAAACUUCAUUUCUUGACUGCCAUUCACCCCAUGUCAGAGAAGGUUCCUCUACAAUAUUAUCAUCCAUUGAGGAUUUUGAAGUUUCCUCAUCAUCUGA